CUACACGGGUAUCUAAUCCUGUUUGAUCCCCACGCUUUCGCGCCUCAGCGUCAAUCUUCGUCCAGGUGGUCGCCUUCGCCACCGGUGUUCCUCCCAAUAUCUACGAAUUUCACCUCUACACUGGGAAUUCCACCACCCUCUCCGAGAUUCUAGCCGGACAGUUUCAGCUGCACUUCCAAGGUUGAGCCCUGGGCUUUCACAGUUGACUUAUCUGGCCGCCUACGCGCCCUUUACGCCCAAUGAUUCCGAACAACGCUUGCACCCUCUGUCUUACCGCGGCUGCUGGCAC
RNAcentral lists this ribosomal RNA (289 nucleotides) under uncultured Pseudomonadota bacterium. Its description in RNAcentral is "uncultured proteobacterium partial 16S ribosomal RNA". Lineage: Bacteria; Pseudomonadati; Pseudomonadota. The record is from RNAcentral.